Folsomia candida is the source of this 2134-nucleotide RNA transcript. RefSeq lists it as uncharacterized. Lineage: Eukaryota; Metazoa; Arthropoda; Collembola; Entomobryomorpha; Isotomidae. The record is from RefSeq and is a predicted model, not a curated record. The transcript has 3 exons.
AUUAUCGUCCGUGGUUAACUGAAAUACGUAAAUGUAUUGACCUUACUAUCAUCGAGCUUAUCACAAAAUUACCAAUUGUUUUAAUUAUUAUCAUCACGCUUCACAAUGGAUCAGAUUACACGAUAUUUAAUAAUACAAGGAUGGCGUAUUUGGACGGGUAAAUAUUUACCCUACUCCGACAUGAUUGAAAUUAUCUGAAUUCAGAUCUUAUUAUUGGUUCUGUUCACAUCGAUCAUAGUUUUCACAAGUGUUACAAAUUAUCAAUAGCCCUUUGGCUUAGGGGAUCGGGGGUGGAACUGUCACCACGCAGUCACACGUUCGAUUCCUCUCUGUCCGGGAAGCUAUUUGCUAAUCCUACUCGGCUCGGUGUUAGUACGGGGUGGGUGCUCCUCUCAUGGUUGGGUGAGCCCGGCCAGACGGUCUGGCAAUGCCAGAAAGGGGAGCCCUCGCAGAGUCCGUUCUCUGUGAGAAGAUCCAACUCAUCGCCAGAGAUAUAUGGUGAGAAGGAACCGUCACGGAUUGAAAACCAGAUGAGUUAAUCUGAUAUCUAAUGACGUUAAAGGAUUAUUUUCAUUUUCAUUUUUUUCAUUAUCGUGAAUAUCAAAAUUCCCAAAGCUCGUAAGACUCGGAAACGAGUGAAACACAGGCUAAAAGUUCACCGACCCAGCAUCGUUCGAAGAACUAAUUACCAGAACUUGUGAAUAUUUAUGUCUCAAAGUUUACUCGGGAUUUAGCUGAAAUGGAAUGAAAGCUUGUAUCAUAUCAUUAUGACGAUACUUACUUAUAACCUUGGUUUUGUAUCUCCUCGUUAGUGUCAUAAAUAGAACAUGGUGGUAAAAGCUAUGCAGUCACCAUCACAAUUCUAAUAUUUGCACUGCAUACAAAGACUUUGCUAAUGUUGACGUUGGGAAAUUCACGUUAACUUGAGUAUUAUAUACCUGGCGAUAAUUUGUGCAUGCGUUUUUAUUACUGAAUAUUUAAUCAAGUCUAAGCAUCAAACUCUUAAAGUAUUACUAUUUGAAAAGUUUAACCUUCUAAAUUCCACGUACAAUGUAAUAUAGUUGAGUGUGUAGUAAUGUUUGAUAGCGCCGAUUUCUACAUAAUUAUAACUGGAAAAUCUUAGUUUUAGGAAAAACAUUGGUUCAUGCUGAUAAAAAUAAUGGGCGAGAGUUCAUUUGUUCGAUAAAUGUCAACAAUUCCUCAGAAUAGAACGUGGCCUUGCAUCUCGAAUGAAUUCAAUCAACACGUUUGUAAAAAAUGCUCUUUUUGGUUAUCAUGACAGGAGCAGCAGGCAGCCGCAGAGGAUGAUCACCAGCUACACUCAUUGUAGUGUUACGUACACAGAGUGACGACAGACAUUGACGAUGCAGAUGUGCUUACGCCAAAUUUAUGUCGCUCCAACCGAAAUUGGCAUCCGAAAUUGGCAUCAAAUUGAAUAAAAAUAACGUUCCAUGACAGAUGGAUGAUGGUGACGCUGGCAGUUUAACUAAAUUGCACUGUAAAUUAUAAUAAAUUAUAAUACCAAGAAAAUACCCAAAUACUGAAAUAUUCUGACAAUCAGUAAACCACAGUUAUUCUGUUCAUGGGGUUGAGCUGCAUUUAUAAAAACGAAUGUUGUUUUGGCUGUUACACAAGAUGCUUCCGAGUUCGCAGGUUUUUCCGAAGGAGCAACAAAACAUCGCCGGAUAGCGUAAUGUCCAAAUCUCCGCCGAGCAUUGCCUUGACCGCGGACCGAACGCAAGCAGACGAGGAGAGCAUACAGGAACAGUUGUCGCUUUUUCAUUUUGGACAGAAAACGACGGGCAGAAGGUUUUCUCAUCCGAAUCAGAUCAAAUACGUUGACGAGUAUGAACGGCGGAAAGGAUUGUCCCAACCAGGAAGCCCGUCCGUGUCUCUCCAUCCCGAAUUCGAGGAAUUCGAUUAUGAUGAGGUUCACGUCAACAAGUUCUUAAUUGACAGUAAAAAGGACGACGGUGUUGACCACGAAGGAGAAAAAACUCCAAGUCCUGUGAUGGAGAAUCCUGUUGUACCUCCUGGUAUAUUAAUAGGUUAAGAUCAUAAACUUUGCUUGUUGGGCUUUCAAUCUCAAUUUCAUUACAAUUUAAACCUAAUAAAUUGACAUGCCAAUUGUAAA